RNAcentral lists this signal recognition particle RNA (148 nucleotides) under Chlorocebus sabaeus (green monkey). RNAcentral's name for it is "Metazoan signal recognition particle RNA". It matches the Rfam family "Metazoan signal recognition particle RNA". From Rfam's summary of the family: The signal recognition particle (SRP) is a universally conserved ribonucleoprotein. Lineage: Eukaryota; Metazoa; Chordata; Mammalia; Primates; Cercopithecidae. The record is from Rfam by way of RNAcentral.
GCCGGGUGUGGUGGCGCACGCCUGUAAUCCCAGCUACUCAGGAGGCUGAGGCAGGAGAAUCACUUGAACCCAGGAGGCGGAGGUUGCAGUGAGCCAAGAUGGUGCCACUGCACUCUAGCCUGGGUGAUAAAGUGAGACUCAGUCUCAA